RNAcentral lists this long non-coding RNA (1106 nucleotides) under Brachypodium distachyon (stiff brome). Its description in RNAcentral is "long non-coding RNA (BDIS_LNC000461)". Lineage: Eukaryota; Viridiplantae; Streptophyta; Magnoliopsida; Poales; Poaceae. The record is from RNAcentral.
GCGUCCCUUGGAGGAGGGGAGGCUCGCAGAGCUCUCAGAGAAAGGAAGUCAAUGUUUGUCGCUGAGUAGUGAGUACUACUGGAGUAGUGUGCUCUGCAGCGACGAGAGGAAGCCAAUUUAUAGAGGUUCUCGGGCCUCGAUCGGUGGUCAUUCCGUGCGCGAGUCUGACUUUUUUUUUCCCACUCGCGGCCUUAACUCUUGCGGCCGUUGCAGUUUCAAGUACGUCCAGUACAUGUCAUUGUGGAUGGUCAAAUCCACCUCCGUCUGCCAUGGCGCCCAUGGUUCUUCUCCUUGUGUGAGAGGGGGAGCCCACCUCUGGUUUCCAUGGUUUUUGUUUUUUUGUAUUUUUUUUCGAGCAUGCAUAUCUGAGAAAUAUAUGAAAUCUUCUAUAGUUAAUGUUGAGGCUUGGUUGCAUUUAGAGAGAGUUUCGUCGUCAUUAAAUGCUUGUAUAUAUUAUGGUUUCUUGUGGCCAUAAUAAGUCAUAUAAGCCAAGUAGUAGUCAUAGUGUGGGAAUCCAAUGGAGAUUUGUUACUCGUGGCUAUGGGCGCAUUUACAGGUUUCGUCCUCAUCACAACCUUAUAUAUUAUUAUUUCUAGUGGCCAUAAUAAAUCACAUAAGCGAGUUGAAGGGAUUCAUCUCGUGGUAAUCCCUACGGGGGGUUGUUGCUUGGUGAUAUGGGUGCAUUUGGGGAGUCUCCAUCCUCUCCUCUCUCACAGCCAUAUUAUGACUACUUGUGGUCAUUAAGGAGUGUUGUUCAUCCUCUUGCAUCUAUAUUACGGUUGUUGAAGUAUAAGUGGAUUGUUCUCCUUUUCCAGUCAGCUUGAGCUUUUGGGUGAAAUGAUUCGAUGCAUGAAACUCUUCGCGGUAUCAGAACCAAGAGGUUUUGAGUUCGAGACAUGGCUGGUGCAAUUAAAGUUGUAGCCCACUUCCGGUCCACGUUUAGACCUAUGAGAGUCAAACGUGAGGAGUGUUGAAGUAUAAGUGGACUGCACUCCUUUCACCAUCGGCUUGAGCUUUUAGGUGAACUGGUUCGGUGCAUGAAACUCUUCAUGGUAUCAUCAGAGCCAAGAGGUCUCGAGUUCGAGACCCGGCUGGCACAAUUAGCA